This 804-nucleotide ribosomal RNA is filed under the name uncultured fungus. Its description in RNAcentral is "eukaryotic LSU rRNA". It matches the Rfam family "Eukaryotic large subunit ribosomal RNA", at positions 30 to 821 of the family's 3401-position model. Lineage: Eukaryota; Fungi. The record is from RNAcentral.
GAACUUAAGCAUAUCAAUAAGCGGAGGAAAAGAAACUAACAAGGAUUCCCUCAGUAACUGCGAGUGAAGUGGGAAAAGCUCAAAUUUGAAAUCUGGCAGCUCUUUCAGGUUGUCCGAGUUGUAAUCUAGAGAAGCGUUACCUGUGUUGGACCGUGUAAAAGUCUUCUGGAAUGGAGCAUCAUAGAGGGUGAGAAUCCCGUCUUUGACAUGGACUACCAGCAUGCCAAGGUGCACUCUCAAAGAGUCGAGUUGUUUGGGAAUGCAGCUCAAAAUGGGUGGUAAAUGCCAUCUAAAGCUAAAUAUUGGCGAGAGACCGAUAGCGAACAAGUACCGUGAGGGAAAGAUGAAAAGAACUUUGGAAAGAGAGUUAAACAGUACGUGAAAUUGCUGAAAGGGAAACGCUUAAAGUCAGUCGCAUUAGCUGGAAAUCAGGCUUGCUUUUGCAAGGUGCACUUUCUAGUUGAUGGGUCAGCAUCAAUUUUAAUCGUUGGAUAAAGUCAUUGGGAAUGUGGCAUCUUUGGAUGUGUUAUAGCCCAGUGUUGAAUAUAGCGGUCAGGAUUGAGGAAUUCAGCAUGCCUCUAGGGGCCAGGUUUCGACCAUGUUCAUGCUUAGGAUGCUGGCAUAAUGGCUUUAAUCGACCCGUCUUGAAACACGGACCAAGGAGUCUAACAUGCCUGCGAGUGUUUGGGUGAAAAACCCAUACGCACAAUGAAAGUGAAAGUUGAGAUCCUUAGGGAGCAUUGACGCCCGGACCAGACCUUCUGUGACGGAUCCGCGGUAGAGCAUGUAUGUUGGGACCCGAAA